Long non-coding RNA from Alosa sapidissima (American shad), 140 nucleotides. RefSeq lists it as uncharacterized. The transcript is spliced from 4 exons. Lineage: Eukaryota; Metazoa; Chordata; Actinopteri; Clupeiformes; Clupeidae. The record is from RefSeq and is a predicted model, not a curated record.
AGUUACGGUAUCUACAGAGAGAAGUUGAAAUACACAGUAAAAAUGCAAGCAAUAUUGAAACCAAAAAUAUUGAUUUUUCCCAAACAAUUUGCUGUUGCGAAUACAGUAUUAUACAACAAACAAUACAAAAAGGAAAGGAG